AGAGUUUGAUCAUGGCUCAGGACGAACGCUGGCGGCGUGCCUAAUACAUGCAAGUAGAACGCUGAAGAGAGGAGCUUGCUCUUCUUGGAUGAGUUGCGAACGGGUGAGUAACGCGUAGGUAACCUGCCUUGUAGCGGGGGAUAACUAUUGGAAACGAUAGCUAAUACCGCAUAACAAUGGAUGACCCAUGUCAUUUAUUUGAAAGGGGCAAAUGCUCCACUACAAGAUGGACCUGCGUUGUAUUAGCUAGUAGGUGAGGUAACGGCUCACCUAGGCGACGAUACAUAGCCGACCUGAGAGGGUGAUCGGCCACACUGGGACUGAGACACGGCCCAGACUCCUACGGGAGGCAGCAGUAGGGAAUCUUCGGCAAUGGGGGCAACCCUGACCGAGCAACGCCGCGUGAGUGAAGAAGGUUUUCGGAUCGUAAAGCUCUGUUGUAAGUCAAGAACGAGUGUGAGAGUGGAAAGUUCACACUGUGACGGUAGCUUACCAGAAAGGGACGGCUAACUACGUGCCAGCAGCCGCGGUAAUACGUAGGUCCCGAGCGUUGUCCGGAUUUAUUGGGCGUAAAGCGAGCGCAGGCGGUUUGAUAAGUCUGAAGUUAAAGGCUGUGGCUCAACCAUAGUUCGCUUUGGAAACUGUCAAACUUGAGUGCAGAAGGGGAGAGUGGAAUUCCAUGUGUAGCGGUGAAAUGCGUAGAUAUAUGGAGGAACACCGGUGGCGAAAGCGGCUCUCUGGUCUGUAACUGACGCUGAGGCUCGAAAGCGUGGGGAGCGAACAGGAUUAGAUACCCUGGUAGUCCACGCCGUAAACGAUGAGUGCUAGGUGUUGGAUCCUUUCCGGGAUUCAGUGCCGCAGCUAACGCAUUAAGCACUCCGCCUGGGGAGUACGACCGCAAGGUUGAAACUCAAAGGAAUUGACGGGGGCCCGCACAAGCGGUGGAGCAUGUGGUUUAAUUCGAAGCAACGCGAAGAACCUUACCAGGUCUUGACAUCCCGAUGCUAUUUCUAGAGAUAGAAAGUUACUUCGGUACAUCGGUGACAGGUGGUGCAUGGUUGUCGUCAGCUCGUGUCGUGAGAUGUUGGGUUAAGUCCCGCAACGAGCGCAACCCCUAUUGUUAGUUGCCAUCAUUCAGUUGGGCACUCUAGCGAGACUGCCGGUAAUAAACCGGAGGAAGGUGGGGAUGACGUCAAAUCAUCAUGCCCCUUAUGACCUGGGCUACACACGUGCUACAAUGGUUGGUACAACGAGUUGCGAGUCGGUGACGGCAAGCUAAUCUCUUAAAGCCAAUCUCAGUUCGGAUUGUAGGCUGCAACUCGCCUACAUGAAGUCGGAAUCGCUAGUAAUCGCGGAUCAGCACGCCGCGGUGAAUACGUUCCCGGGCCUUGUACACACCGCCCGUCACACCACGAGAGUUUGUAACACCCGAAGUCGGUGAGGUAACCUUUUGGAGCCAGCCGCCUAAGGUGGGAUAGAUGAUUGGGGUGAAGUCGUAACAAGGUA
Molecule: ribosomal RNA, 1506 nt
Filed under: metagenome
Description: bacterial SSU rRNA
Rfam family: Bacterial small subunit ribosomal RNA
Source: RNAcentral